GACUCUUGUGAAAGGAACCCAGGGUGAAGCUUUCUGUAAAGGGAAAAGCUGUUUCAGGAGAAAGCCCUCUCCUCCUUUUCA
Molecule: small RNA, 81 nt
Filed under: Prolemur simus (greater bamboo lemur)
Lineage: Eukaryota; Metazoa; Chordata; Mammalia; Primates; Lemuridae
Description: ZFAT antisense RNA 1 conserved region 3 (ENSPSMG00000005489.1)
Source: RNAcentral